AUGACGGGGAAAAGAAACUGGUUUUCCCCCUGGAAAAAGAAUAGUAGCAGCACAGAAAGGCAUUACGAGGCGAUGAUAGCAUCGUAUGGAGCACUUGCUCCAAAAAGAUACAUGUACUCAGAGGUCAUGAAGAUAACGUCUUCUCGCAAUAAAAAGCUUGGUCAGGGUGGUUAUGGUGUGGUUUUCGAAGGAAAGCUACAUGAUGGUCAUCUGGUUGCUGUCAAAUUCUUGCAUGACUGCAAAGGAAACGGGGAGGAGUUUGUGAAUGAGGUUAUGAGCAUUGGCAGGACUUCUCAAGUGAAUAUUGUUAGCCUACUUGGAUUUUGUUUGGAGGGAUCAAAACGAGCUCUUAUAUAUGAGUACAUGUGCAAUGGUUCCAUGGAUAGAUACAUUUACUCAGAGAACCCAAAAGAAAUUUUAGGAUGGGAGAGGCUCUAUGCAAUAGCGAUUGGGAUAGCUCGUGGACUAGAAUAUUUGCACAAUAGCUGUAAUACACGGAUUGUCCAUUUUGACAUUAAGCUUCAAAAUAUCCUUCUAGACAAGGAUUUUUGCCCAAAGAUUGCCGAUUUUUGGCCUUGCUAA
This 582-nucleotide ribosomal RNA is filed under the name Triticum aestivum (bread wheat). RNAcentral describes it as "partial small subunit ribosomal RNA". Lineage: Eukaryota; Viridiplantae; Streptophyta; Magnoliopsida; Poales; Poaceae. The record is from RNAcentral.